UACAGAGGUGCCAAGCGUUAGGCGGAAUCACUGGGCUUAAAGCGUGUGUAGGCGGAUCGUUAAGUACCUUGUGAAAUCCCACGGCUCAACCGUGGAACUGCUGGGUAUACUGGCGGUCUUGAGCCACCUAGGGGCAACUGGAACAAGCGGUGGAGCGGUGAAAUGCGUAGAUAUCUAGAGGAACGCCGAUGGUGAAGACAGGUGACUGGGCCUAUUCUGACGCUGAUGCACGAAAGCGUGGGGAGCAAACGGG
Molecule: ribosomal RNA, 253 nt
Filed under: uncultured bacterium
Lineage: Bacteria
Description: partial 16S ribosomal RNA
Rfam family: Bacterial small subunit ribosomal RNA
Source: RNAcentral